CCUACGUGAGGCAGCCGUGAGGAAUAUUGGUCAAUGGCCGGAAGGCUGAACCAGCCAAGCCGCGUGAAGGACGAAGGUGCCAAGCAUUGUAAACUUCUUUUGUCAAGGGACAAAAUCAGGCUCGAGAGCCUGACCGAGGGUACUUGAAGAAAAAGCAUCGGCUAACUCCGUGCCAGCAGCCGCGGUAAUGCGGAUGAUGCGAGCUUUAUCCGGAUUUAUUGGGUUUCAAUGGUGCGUCGGCCGACUGUUAAGUCAGCAGUAAAACCCCGGGGUUCAACCCCGGCGAGCCGUUGAGACUGGCUGUCUUGAGAUGUCGAGAGGUAUGCGGAAUGCGCAGUGUAGCGGUGAAAUGCUUAGAUAUUGCGCAGAAAUCCGAUUGCGAAGGCAGCAUACCGGCGGCGAUCUGACGCUGAGGCACGAAAGCGUGGGUAUCGAACAGGAUUAGAUACCCUAGUAGUC
This 459-nucleotide ribosomal RNA is filed under the name uncultured bacterium. Its description in RNAcentral is "partial 16S ribosomal RNA". It matches the Rfam family "Bacterial small subunit ribosomal RNA", at positions 338 to 795 of the family's 1533-position model. The record is from RNAcentral.